This is a long non-coding RNA of Carassius carassius (crucian carp), 245 nucleotides long. RefSeq lists it as uncharacterized. Lineage: Eukaryota; Metazoa; Chordata; Actinopteri; Cypriniformes; Cyprinidae. The record is from RefSeq and is a predicted model, not a curated record. The transcript has 4 exons.
UCAACCCUUCACAGGAAGGCCUGUCAUGAGAUUUGAAUUUGACCAUCUUGUGCAUUUAUGAAGAAGACCAAAAGCUGCAAAGGCAAACACUUCCAAUGACGCUGAAUCUGAUGUGUACAGAUGAACUCAGGAGCCUGCUAGAGUUGCCAGGGAACUUGAGCUUGAACAGAAGACCAGAAACGGAAAGAAAAUCAGUCAAACCAGUCCUAAAGAAAUGAGGAAUGAACAUGGACUUCUUUUGCCCC